UUUCCGUAGGUGAACCUGCGGAGGGAUCAUUAUUGAAAUAUACCUGCUGGGUUGCUGCUGACUCGCUCGGGAGCAUGUGCACACUUGUCAUCCUUAUGUCUCCACCUGUCCACCUUUUGUAGAUCUGGAUAUCUUUCUGAAUGCCUGCGUUCAGUUUUGAGGAUUGACUUGUCUUUCCCUACAUUUCCAGGCCUAUGUUUCUUCAUACACACCAUGUAUGUUAUAGAAUGUAAUGAAAAGGGCCUUUGUGCCUACAAACUUAUACAACUUUCAGCAACGGAUCUCUUGGCUCUC
RNAcentral lists this unclassified non-coding RNA (294 nucleotides) under plant metagenome. RNAcentral's name for it is "partial contains small subunit ribosomal RNA, internal transcribed spacer 1, and 5.8S ribosomal RNA". The record is from RNAcentral.